This 400-nucleotide ribosomal RNA is filed under the name uncultured bacterium. RNAcentral describes it as "bacterial SSU rRNA". It matches the Rfam family "Bacterial small subunit ribosomal RNA", at positions 356 to 773 of the family's 1533-position model. The record is from RNAcentral.
GGGGAAUAUUGGACAAUGGGCGAAAGCCUGAUCCAGCAAUGCCGCGUGAGUGAUGAAGGCCUUAGGGUUGUAAAGCUCUUUUACCCGGGAUGAUAAUGACAGUACCGGGAGAAUAAGCCCCGGCUAACUCCGUGCCAGCAGCCGCGGUAAUACGAAGGGGGCUAGCGUUGCUCGGAAUCACUGGGCGUAAAGGGUGCGUAGGCGGCCCGCUAAGUCGAACGUGAAAUCCCCGAGCUCAACUCGGGAACUGCGUCCGAUACUGGCGGGCUUGAAUCCGGGAGAGGGAUGCGGAAUUCCAGGUGUAGCGGUGAAAUGCGUAGAUAUCUGGAGGAACACCGGUGGCAAAGGCGGCAUCCUGGACCGGCAUUGACGCUGAGGCGCGAAAGCUAGGGGAGCAAAC